GAUGAACGCUGACAGAAUGCUUAACACAUGCAAGUCAACUUGAACUUCGGUUUGGGCGGCGGACGGGUGAGUAACGCGUAAAGAACUUGCCUCACAGAUAGGGACAACAUUUGGAAACGAAUGCUAAUACCUGAUAUUAUGAUUUUAGGGCAUCCUAGAAUUAUGAAAGCUAUAUGCGCUGUGAGAGAGCUUUGCGUCCCAUUAGCUAGUUGGAGAGGUAACGGCUCACCAAGGCGAUGAUGGGUAGCCGGCCUGAGAGGGUGAUCGGCCACAAGGGGACUGAGACACGGCCCUUACUCCUACGGGAGGCAGCAGUGGGGAAUAUUGGACAAUGGACCAAGAGUCUGAUCCAGCAAUUCUGUGUGCACGAUGAAGUUUUUCGGAAUGUAAAGUGCUUUCAGUUGGGAAGAAAAAAAUGACGGUACCAACAGAAGAAGUGACGGCUAAAUACGUGCCAGCAGCCGCGGUAAUACGUAUGUCACAAGCGUUAUCCGGAUUUAUUGGGCGUAAAGCGCGUCUAGGUGGUUAUGUAAGUCUGAUGUGAAAAUGCAGGGCCCAACUCUGUAUUGCGUUGGAAACUGUGUAACUAGAGUACUGGAGAGGUAAGCGGAACUACAAGUGUAGAGGUGAAAUUCGUAGAUAUUUGUAGGAAUGCCGAUGGGGAAGCCAGCUUACUGGACAGAUACUGACGCUGAAGCGCGAAAGCGUGGGUAGCAAGCAGG
RNAcentral lists this ribosomal RNA (722 nucleotides) under uncultured Fusobacterium sp. RNAcentral describes it as "bacterial SSU rRNA". It matches the Rfam family "Bacterial small subunit ribosomal RNA", at positions 28 to 776 of the family's 1533-position model. Lineage: Bacteria; Fusobacteriati; Fusobacteriota; Fusobacteriia; Fusobacteriales; Fusobacteriaceae. The record is from RNAcentral.